GUUGAGAUGGUUAAGUUAGUCCAAGUCGCGAGAUUAAGGCUGUGGUUUGAAAGGGCAUGGGUUUGAAUCCCACUCUCAACA
This 81-nucleotide small RNA is filed under the name Salix viminalis (osier). The record is from RNAcentral. Lineage: Eukaryota; Viridiplantae; Streptophyta; Magnoliopsida; Malpighiales; Salicaceae.